Molecule: non-coding RNA, 138 nt
Organism: Triticum aestivum (bread wheat)
Lineage: Eukaryota; Viridiplantae; Streptophyta; Magnoliopsida; Poales; Poaceae
Source: Rfam
AUGGUACUCCCUCCGUUCCACAAUACAUAUGCCUUCCAUUUGUCAAAAUAUAGAUGUAUCUAGACAUGUUUUAGUAUAUAAGUACAUCCAUUUUUGGACAAAUGGAAGUCAAGUAUUUUGGAACGGAGGGAGUACUAG